CCGUGGAGGAGCGCAACCUGCUGUCCGUCGCCUACAAGAACGUCAUCGGCGCCCGCAGGGCCUCGUGGCGGAUCAUCUCCUCCAUCGAGCAGAAGGAGGAGGGCCGCGGGAACGAGGCGCACGCCGCCUCCAUCCGCGCCUACCGCUCCAAGAUCGAGACCGAGCUCGCCCGCAUCUGCGACGGCAUCCUCGCCCUGCUCGACUCCCACCUCGUCCCAUCCGCCGGCGGCGCCGAGUCCAAGGUCUUCUACCUCAAGAUGAAGGGUGACUACCACAGGUACCUUGCUGAGUUCAAGUCUGGUGCAGAGAGGAAGGAUGCUGCGGAGAGCACCAUGAAUGCCUACAAAGCUGCUCAGGACAUUGCUCUUGCAGAUCUGGCC
This is an RNA transcript of Zea mays, 380 nucleotides long. It is a transcript of the gene named 14-3-3-like protein GF14-D, with no coding region annotated. The transcript has 3 exons. The record is from RefSeq and is marked validated. Lineage: Eukaryota; Viridiplantae; Streptophyta; Magnoliopsida; Poales; Poaceae.